This 253-nucleotide ribosomal RNA is filed under the name uncultured bacterium. RNAcentral's name for it is "partial 16S ribosomal RNA". It matches the Rfam family "Bacterial small subunit ribosomal RNA", at positions 524 to 776 of the family's 1533-position model. The record is from RNAcentral.
UACGUAGGCAGCGAGCGUUGUUCGGAGUUACUGGGCGUAAAGAGUGCGUAGGCGGUGUUCCAAGUCUGUUGUGAAAUCUCCCGGCUCAACUGGGAGGGUGCGGCGGAAACUGGGACGCUGGAGUACGGGAGAGGUAAGCGGAAUUCCUGGUGUAGCGGUGAAAUGCGCAGAUAUCAGGAGGAACACCGGUGGCGAAGGCGGUUCUCUGGGCCUUACCUGACGCUGAGGAGCGAAAGCGUGGGGAGCAAACAGG